UACCGUAGGUAAAGUUAGGUUAAGU
Molecule: ribosomal RNA, 25 nt
Filed under: Pediococcus acidilactici
Lineage: Bacteria; Bacillati; Bacillota; Bacilli; Lactobacillales; Lactobacillaceae
Description: partial 23S ribosomal RNA
Source: RNAcentral